This 449-nucleotide ribosomal RNA is filed under the name uncultured bacterium. RNAcentral describes it as "bacterial SSU rRNA". It matches the Rfam family "Bacterial small subunit ribosomal RNA", at positions 330 to 795 of the family's 1533-position model. The record is from RNAcentral.
UCCAGACUCCUACGGGAGGCAGCAGUGGGGGAUAUUGCACAAUGGGGGAAACCCUGAUGCAGCGACGCCGCGUGAGUGAAGAAGUAUUUCGGUAUGUAAAGCUCUAUCAGCAGGGAAGAAAAAAGACGGUACCUGACUAAGAAGCCCCGGCUAACUACGUGCCAGCAGCCGCGGUAAUACGUAGGGGGCAAGCGUUAUCCGGAUUUACUGGGUGUAAAGGGAGCGUAGACGGCGAUGCAAGCCAGAUGUGAAAGCCCGGGGCUCAACCCCGGGACUGCAUUUGGAACUGUGUGGCUGGAGUGUCGGAGAGGCAGGCGGAAUUCCUAGUGUAGCGGUGAAAUGCGUAGAUAUUAGGAGGAACACCAGUGGCGAAGGCGGCCUGCUGGACGAUGACUGACGUUGAGGCUCGAAAGCGUGGGGAGCAAACAGGAUUAGAUACCCCCGUAAAC